GGAUAACCCUGUAGCAUACGGCCUCCAUCCCUCCACUCUCGUUACCACGCAAAUCAGCCCUAAGCAAAUCCCACCCAAGGUCUUCCCUCUCCUUACUGGAAUCAAAGACCGAGGGAAGCUCCGGAUCCCGAGUCAGCCCUUAGUAAAUCCCACCCAAGGAGGACCCAGGUCACUCUCCUUGCUAGAAUCAAAGACAGAAAGAAACUACGGGUCCUGAGCAUCAAGGAUGCCCGAGGCCACUACGUGAUACUAGUCAAGUCACUUAACCCCAAUUGCCCAGCCCUUACAGCAUUUCUGUCUUGGAAUUGGAUAGCAUCGAUUCUAGAAGGAUUUCUAAGUAGAAGGGAACCGACAGGUGUCUGUGAAAGAGAGCAGAAGAUUCCAUUACCUAGGAGACAAGGAAGAUAUAUAAGGAAGAAAUGAGUUGACAGUUGGUCUUUUGCCUCUGGACAUUGUGGAAGAGGCAAGAAGAAAGAGGGGAUUUACAAGACAAGACAAGACAAGACAAGCAUGCAAACCAAAGCAAAGGACCUGAUCUGUCCAUCAAGGUGAACAUUCCAAAACAGAAGGUUCCCAGGAAAGGCAGUUGGAGCUGGCCAGGGGAGAUGAACUGAGAAUAACUUCUGCUCUGGGUUUACUGACCAAGGAAGAGACUUCUUCUCUGGGUUACUGAUCAAAGGAGUGACCUGGGUGGCUCUGACAGAGUGGUAGAGAAGAAGCUAAGAACUGAUCCCUGUUAGCUUCUGUCCUAGGCUGAAGGACCCUUGAGGGGCUUCUGGAAUUAAUCUGAGAAGAAAUUAACUUUUGUUGGUGGCUUUGUGUAAUUGGAAUAAGAAAGAAGAUUUAACUGAGUCACAAUUGUGGCAAGACUGACAUUUCCCAAAACAACCUUGAGGGAACAGGAGUCUGUUUCUGAGGCAAGGGGUGACUGGUAGUUUUUACUACUGACAGCUGGGAUAGAGAAAAAGAUUUAAGGAGCUCAUAUGUGAUGAAUGUUUAGUUAUUAAUAUAGAUAGUUAGUGAAUAAAUUUCUAGGUAUGGAGUGUAGGUAGUUAGGC
This 1058-nucleotide long non-coding RNA is filed under the name Monodelphis domestica (gray short-tailed opossum). RNAcentral describes it as "lncRNA (ENSMODG00000042158.1)". The record is from RNAcentral. Lineage: Eukaryota; Metazoa; Chordata; Mammalia; Didelphimorphia; Didelphidae.